AUGCGGAGCCUCGCCGUCGCGAGCCCCGUCCCGCCAGCCGCCGCCCAUCGACGGAGGCUCCGGCCGUCCGCCUCCGGCAGGGAAGUAGUUUCACAAUGUUUGAAGUGUGAGAUAAAUCAGGACCGACCUAUGGGAGCUCUAAGGAUAGGUCACUCUCAAGGAAAUUUGCCAAGACAUGGUUCGAAGAAUCUGCUCACACCAGCUGCUGCAGCCAUUUCAGUUGAACAAGUUGAAGUCAGUACCUAUCUUCCAAAAGGUGAUAUGUGGUCUGUGCACAAGUUUGGUGGCACUUGCAUGGGAACACCUCAGAGAAUUCAGAAUGUUGCUGAUGUAGUUCUUGGUGACUCUUCCGAGAGGAAGCUGAUAAUUGUCUCUGCAAUGUCCAAAGUUACUGACAUGAUGUACAGUCUCGUGCAUAAGGCUCAGUCAAGGGAUGAUUCUUACACAGAAGAAUUGGAUAAAGUUUUUGAGAAGCAUAUGGCUGCAGCGAAAGAUCUUCUUGAUGGAGAAAACCUUGCAAGAUUUUUGUCUGAGUUGCAUUCGGACAUCAGUAACCUGAGAGCAAUGCUCCGUGCUAUUUAUAUAGCUGGACAUGCAACAGAAUCUUUCUCUGAAUUCGUUGUUGGGCAUGGGGAGUUGUGGUCAUCUCAGAUGCUAUCGUAUGCUGUACAGAAGUCUGGAGCAUCUUGUAGUUGGAUGGAUACAAGAGAAGUUCUAGUUGUAAAACCUAGUGGUCCUGACAUGGUAGAUCCUGAUUAUGAGGAAUCUGAGAAGCGACUCGAGAAAUGGUUUUCACGCCAACCUGCUGAGAUAAUAGUUGCUACUGGCUUUAUCGCGAGUACAGCUGAAAACAUCCCUACUACUCUGAAAAGGGAUGGAAGCGAUUUCUCAGCAGCAAUAAUUGGUUCUCUUGUUAGGGCACGCCAAGUCACAAUCUGGACCGAUGUUGAUGGGGUAUUUAGUGCCGAUCCUAGGAAAGUCAGUGAGGCUGUGAUCUUAAGCACAUUAUCAUAUCAGGAGGCCUGGGAAAUGUCAUACUUUGGGGCAAAUGUGUUGCAUCCCCGUACCAUUAUACCUGUGAUGAAAGACAAUAUUCCCAUUGUCAUUAGGAACAUGUUCAAUCUCUCUGCCCCUGGAACUGUGAUUUGCAAGCAGCCUGCUAACGAAGAUGCUGAUUUGGAUGCUUGUGUCAAAUCAUUUGCUACUAUAGAUAAAUUGGCCCUUGUUAACGUUGAAGGAACUGGAAUGGCUGGUGUUCCAGGUACAUCAAGUGCCAUAUUUAGUGCUGUAAAAGAGGUCGGAGCUAAUGUUAUCAUGAUAUCUCAGGCUAGCAGUGAACACUCGAUAUGUUUUGCUGUUCCAGAAAAGGAAGUUGCAGCAGUCUCUGCAGCCUUGCAUGUUAGGUUUCGUGAAGCAUUAGCAGCAGGAAGGCUCUCUAAGGUUGAAGUCAUUCAUGAUUGCAGCAUUCUUGCUGCUGUUGGCCUGAGAAUGGCAAGUACUCCUGGAGUCAGUGCAAUCCUUUUUGAUGCGCUAGCAAAGGCAAACAUUAAUGUACGAGCAAUAGCUCAAGGUUGCAGUGAGUACAAUAUUACUGUUGUAUUGAAACAAGAAGAUUGUGUUAGGGCUCUAAGAGCUGCUCACUCAAGGUUCUUCCUCUCAAAAACCACACUUGCUAUUGGGGUCAUUGGACCUGGUUUGAUUGGGGCAACACUGCUCAACCAGCUCAGGGACCAGGUAGCAAUCCUGAAGGAAAAUAUGAAUAUUGAUGUGCGUGUCAUCGGAAUAACUGGCGCAAGCACGAUGCUUUUGAGUGAAACGGGAGUAGACCUAACCAGGUGGAAAGAAGAAAUGCAAAAGGAAGCAAAACCAGCUGAUCUUGCUAAUUUUGUUCGCCAUUUGUCUGAGGACCAUGUGUUUCCAAACAAAGUAUUGGUGGACUGCACAGCAGAUACAAAUGUGGCAUCUCACUACUAUGAUUGGUUGAAGAAGGGUAUCCAUGUCAUCACACCGAAUAAAAAAGCAAAUUCUGGUCCACUUGAUCGGUAUCUGAAACUAAGGACUCUACAGCGUGCAUCAUAUACUCAUUACUUUUAUGAAGCAACUGUUGGUGCAGGCCUGCCAAUAAUUAGCACCCUGCGAGGUCUUCUGGAGACAGGUGACAAGAUAUUGCGUAUUGAAGGCAUUUUCAGUGGAACUCUGAGUUAUAUUUUCAACAAUUUUGAAGGAACAAGGAGCUUUAGUGAUGUUGUUGCUGAAGCAAAAGAAGCUGGAUACACUGAGCCAGACCCAAGAGAUGAUCUAUCUGGAACAGAUGUUGCCAGAAAGGUCAUUAUCCUUGCAAGGGAGUCUGGUUUGAGACUUGAGCUUUCAGAUAUCCCGGUAGAGAGCCUUGUGCCAGAGGCGCUAAAGUCAUGCUCGUCGCCAAAUGAAUUCAUGCAAAAGCUACCAUCGUUUGACCAGGAUUGGGCCAGACAGCGCCAUGAGGCUGAGGCUGCAGGCGAAGUACUGCGGUACGUGGGAGCGGUGGACGUGCUGAACGGAAAGGGAAGGGUAGAACUGCAGAGGUACAAGAGGGACCACCCAUUCGCCCAGCUAUCUGGUUCGGACAACAUCAUCGCCUUCACCACUUCGAGGUACAAGGAGCAGCCGCUGAUCGUGCGAGGGCCGGGCGCAGGCGCGGAGGUGACUGCCGGAGGCGUCUUCUGCGACAUCCUGCGGCUGGCGUCCUACCUCGGCGCCCCCUCAUAG
This 2748-nucleotide ribosomal RNA is filed under the name Triticum aestivum (bread wheat). RNAcentral's name for it is "partial small subunit ribosomal RNA". The record is from RNAcentral. Lineage: Eukaryota; Viridiplantae; Streptophyta; Magnoliopsida; Poales; Poaceae.